Molecule: ribosomal RNA, 115 nt
Filed under: Copranaerobaculum intestinale
Lineage: Bacteria; Bacillati; Bacillota; Erysipelotrichia; Erysipelotrichales; Erysipelotrichaceae
Source: RNAcentral
UCUGGUGAUGAUGGCGGAGUGGACACACCUGUACCCAUGCCGAACACAGCAGUUAAGCACUCCAGCGGCGACAAUAACCGGGCCUGCCCCGUGUGAAGAUAGCUCAUUGCCAGGU